AAUAGAAUCUUUAAACCUCCAACAACAUAGCAGUAUCAAAAAUGGAGUAAACAUUAUUACAAACCCAAAUAAAUAUAAGUCUUAAUUAAGCAAAUAAGAGUAAGUUGUUUCUCGUUUUAUUCUAACUCCUUGAUAAUGAGACCAUAUUAAAGCCACUUAAGGGAUUAUGACUUCGAAGCUAUUCAAAUAGUCAGAACCCAAGUGUUACGUUCAUCCUUCCUUUCAAGAUUAAUUCAUGAUUUUCUUACUAGUUAGUGAGCAAACAAUUAGCCAAAUAAUAUUUCCUAUGCUUGUGAACAUUAUACAAACUAGAGAAUCACAUGGAUGAAAAUUGUAUAAAAAUGCAACAAUUCUAUAUUAAUCAUAUUAAAGAAAUUUAAAGCAAAAGAAAGCUAAUCAACGAUUAUAUUAGAAUGUCACCAACUUCCAUGAAACGAUAUAGCUACAAAUCUCAGCAAAAGGAUAAUAACAAUACGUGAAGGAAAUAUUCAAGUAAACUUCAACGUGUGACAGAUUAUUACAAGAACUUUUAGUGAAGUAAAAUCAAUUCUUUUCUUAAUAGAGACUGUUGCAACUACACUAAAAAUUAACAGGUAUGAACUUAAAACUACAUUUUUCUACUUCUUUCGUCGUAUACUACAAUAACUCAAAUCAUUCAUAUAUUAUAAUCAAUAAGAAUGGAUCACUGAGUUCAAUAAUCUAAAAUAACGGGUGGAACUCUAGCCCGGGAAGUCAAACAUUUAUUCACUCAUCUUGUCAACAGAAAUCACACAAGGUAAUGACACAGCUAUAGCACAUCAACACCUUCAUGUCUUCAUUCCAAGCCAAAUCAAAUUACAUUAAGAAAGAAAAAUCAGAAAAGUACCUAGAUGAAGAAACUGGAAGCAGUGAGGAAACAUGCUUGAAAAGGAAAAAUGGACAGCAAUCCCAGCAAGAACGAACAUCAAUUCAAUAGCCCGAAACCUCGACAAUUACCCAGGAAUAAACUAGCCACAUUUGAAUAGACAAGAAACUCAAAAGAAAACCAAAGAACCUUGAAAGACUCUCAGCUUUUUAGAGGACUUUUGCUCUCCGGAAACUCCUUCAAGUUCUCAAGUUUUUGUGUUAUGAUCAAGUGUGUAAAAGAUGUUCUGAAUAUGUGUUAAGAGUGUUCCAGAAUGUGUAAAAAGUCCUCCUAGAUGAGGAAAGAACUCCUCUUUAUAUAGGAGGAGAAAGGACUUUGGGACAUAUUUUAUUUUGCCCAAAAUCUGUCCAAAAUGAUGUAUUGUUGACCAAAAAUCUGUUCAAAACUAGAAUUUUGGUCAAUGAACAAUUUUUCUUAUCAAUUGCAGACAGAAUUUUGGAGUAUUAUACUCCAAAACAGUCUGCAACAGUUAAAGCAACCAAACAAAGGACCCUACACUCAAGUAUUCUCUUUUCUUUCCCUUUCCUCUUAACUUCUCAAACCAGAUUCUAUGUUUAAACCAAACACAUGACACAUAUUACUCAAAUCUUACUAAAAUACACUCAUAACUGUUGAAGUGAUAAUAUGCUAAGUAUUUCAACACAGACUAUCAUCAAUCAUUCAACCUAUAGAUUAUCACUUCAUUAGAACGAAUGAACUCAUGACUUGAAAAGAUCAAUGACUUAACUAAACAAACUAACCAUACUUCCGAAUGAAUCAAGAUCAUUGAUGCCUUUGAAAGAUGAUCAAUUAACUCAAAUAAACAAGCUAACUGAACUUCAUAUAACCUAUAUCAAUCAAUUAACAAAAGAACUAACAAACAGAACUAGAAGCUAAUCAAUCUAACUGUCAAACGAUGGUCUUCAACUAACAUGAAACAACCCAACUAUCAACUGCUAAUCCCCAAACCAAAACACGAUUUGAAUCUAGCAAAUAUCAUCUAGUUAAACAUGAAAAGAUAAAACGAGGUAAACUAACCGAACUGAUCAUGCUUCCCAGGAUAUGACAAUCAAAACGGAUAACACGACUAAUACAAACAAGACUAAACGAGUGCAUAUUAACCAAAAGACUUAAACUUUGAAACAAAAUGUAUAAUUCAAAAUAAUAUACAUGAGUCGAAACCAACACUUAAAACUACCUAUAAAUGAUAUAAAUGAUAUUGAAGCAAAACUAAAACUAAUUGAAAUUGAAUACUACCCAAUUACAUGAGAUUAAAUGAGAUGGAAACUAAAAUAUGAUCCUAGUCUUAAUAAACAGAACCAAAAAUCAGAAAAGAGCGAAAGGGAUAAAGGUUUUACCUCACGAGGAUAUCGAGGCCAACCCAAGCAGCGAGGAAGCACCGAGGGUGUCGGAUGGUGGAUGUCUGACAUUAAAAUGAGCGUUUCUUUCUACCACACGUUGAAUCCAAUGAGUUUCAAUGUCGUGCUAGAGAGAAACGAACGUAUUUGGGUCGGAAUAAGCUAAAACAAAAGGGGGCAGUGCGGUGGCGGUGGUUGCCGGAGUUUGGACUUUAAACUAACACAAAGAAAUAGAACCAAGCAAGACAUACACGUAUAUGGAAGUCUUAUGUGAAAAUGGGGCGUGGAACUUUAUCAAUUUGGAAAAGAGAGGCUAGGGUUUUUUUCGAAUUUUGGUAGAUUGGUGAGGAUUUGGAGGAUAUGAGGCUUGGAUUCAUGGAGAGGAGAUUGGGAGGAAGAAAUGUAAAAUUUUGGCGUGGUUUGGAGGUUGGUCACCGCCGGUGGAGAAUUCCGGCGGGCGGCGCUGGGGGCUUAGGUCAGUGAGAGAGGGUGAGAAGAGAGAGGAAGAAGAGGGGAAUUAAGGGGAAAUGGGGCCAAAUUUUGGGGAAUUAAGGGAUUAAAUACCUGGGUGGGAGAUAGAUAAGGG
RNAcentral lists this long non-coding RNA (2827 nucleotides) under Nicotiana tabacum (common tobacco). RNAcentral describes it as "long non-coding RNA (NTAB_LNC007131)". Lineage: Eukaryota; Viridiplantae; Streptophyta; Magnoliopsida; Solanales; Solanaceae. The record is from RNAcentral.